GGCCAAAUUGCGGCGGGGAACACCCCUCACCGCAACCUCCACGGCCCGGUGAUACAACCGAAGACUACUAUGACUUCCCUGGAUGCCGACACUGUCCUCUUCUUCAUCCAGCCCAGAAGGGCACGAUAUCACACUGGAUACGAUAUAUAUCAGUGGAAAACAAUCAGAAGGCCACAUGGAUUGAAGACUUUAAUCGAAAGGCAACACCAUAAUGCCAAGGGAUUUGGGGAGUAGGAGGGAUAUAUUGCACCAGAAAAAACACACAGGACAGAAGAAACAGUUUCACAGAAGACACAGAGGAAACAUGAGACAAAGGUGGAGAGAAGAGAGACAAGCAGAGGGUUCAAACC
Non-coding RNA from Anolis sagrei ordinatus, 350 nucleotides. Lineage: Eukaryota; Metazoa; Chordata; Lepidosauria; Squamata; Anolidae. The record is from RefSeq and is a predicted model, not a curated record.